UGGGGAAUUUUGCACAAUGGGGGAAACCCUGAUGCAGCGACGCCGCGUGAUUUAGAAGGCCUUCGGGUUGUAAAAAUCUUUUCUAUGGGAAGAAAAUGACAGUACCAUAGGAAUAAGGACCGGAUAAUUACGUGCCAGCAGCCGCGGUAAUACGUAAGGUCCGAGCGUUGUCCGGAAUCAUUGGGCGUAAAGGGUACGUAGGCGGGUAAGCAAGUUAGAAGUGAAAUCCUAUAGCUCAACUAUAGUAAGCUUUUAAAACUGCUCAUCUUGGGGUAUGGAAGAGAAAGUGGAAUUCCUAGUGUAGCGGUGAAAUGCGCAGAUAUUAGGGGGAAUACCGGUGGCGGAGGCGACUUUCUGGCCAUAACCUGACGCUGAGGUACGAAAGCGUGGGUAGCAAACAGG
Molecule: ribosomal RNA, 402 nt
Filed under: bacterium
Lineage: Bacteria
Description: partial 16S ribosomal RNA
Rfam family: Bacterial small subunit ribosomal RNA
Source: RNAcentral